UGCUAACAGCAGCUCCUCUGGCUGAUGGUCACCUUGCUGCCCUCCACCCCUUGCUCUGCAUUGCCAGCAGGAUUCCAGUUCAGCUUUCCCUUUCUUGGUAAAAUCUGAAUAAUCUGUUAGCCUGUUUCCUUCCCAAAGCAAUCAGCUACUUCAGGGUUACAGACAGCAUAGCUUUGCAGGUAGGGAAGGGUUACCAAGACCCGUUUUUUUCAAACAAAGAUGUAGCUGUGCCCAGAAAGAUGUGUGCAAAAGUGGUGGCAUCAGGGUCCUCACAUGUCUGUUAGGGCAGGAAAGAAUUUUUGUGUCUCUGAGGACACGUGCCUACACAAGAACAAGAGAUCCUGGGUGCUUGCAUGGCCAACAUCUGCAGCUCUGAGUUGCCUUUAGUCCUGUUUCCUCAUGUUGUUAAAACCUUCCCCCGCUCACUGAAUGAAUGAAGGAAGAAAGCUGCCAUGUAUAGCAAGCCCAAGCAAGCACAGCCACUGCUUACGUAAAAAUCCGUGCUGUAUUUCCAUGCUGAUCCACUGAGCUGGAUGCUUGAAACCCCUUCUCUGCUACCUGUGCUGGGUUGCACUCUGAGACUAAGACUUCCUAGCCCAGAGAAAUGGCACAAAACGAGCUUUGCUGCUCACUCUGCAACAAGCAAGAGCUGUUUGAGAUGCUGGAGGAGAAUUUCAUCAAGAUAUUGGUAAAGGAGCUCUAGUCCCUUCUUGCUUUCAAAGAGCACUUGCUGCUGGAUUUGCUGUCUCUAGUCAAAGCACAAGGUUUAAACCUCAGAGCUUUGGGGAAAAGGCCACCGAUCUCGUAUAAAAUGGAGUGCAAGCACGUCCAGGGCCCAAAUACAGAUUCCCCGUGAAGUGUGGAGUUGUCAGAAAUGGAACUGCAGGAGACAGGAAAAUUAAUGAAGAUGAAGGUAUUUGUGUUGUGUUGGAUGAAUCAUGAACUUUUCUUUACCUUGUACUAAUGAUGCAAAAGCAGUUAUUUCUUCCAACUAGUGAGUCAAAUGAAGCUUUUUGUGGCUGCUGUCAGUGAAAGCUGAUGAGCGUCAACAGGAUGGCAGCUCUGGGCUGUGCCUGAGAAAAGUGGGAGCCUGUCCUGGAGUUGGGAUGUUUAGCAAAUUUGUCAGAUCUUAAAGGCAACUCUGGAAGUGCUUUGUCCUCCAGCUAGGAGUGUCAUGGUCCUUUCUUCCCAUGAAUGUGCAGCUUUUGAGGCGAGGAAGAUGAUUUUGAGGUAAGGAAAGCUGUUGCUGUGCUUGCACAGGGCGAUCUGGUGGGGAUCUUGAGCUGAGAGAACAGCCACCAUCUCUCCUAGAUGGGAACAGUCGCUGAUCCCCUUGUGAGCAGCGUCCUUCCCAUCGGUGCUGCUCCUCUGCCUGUUCUGCCAUUACAGUUUUUGGACAUGGAGUUGAGUUUGCUUGGCCACAAUAGGUAUAGGUGUGUUUGCUUUCCACUUCCAGGCACUUCUCCUUUGGGUGCCAGCACGUCGGCUUCCCCGCUUGCCUCAUCUCAACCCCGCAAUUUGCAGGGGAUGCAUUUUAAAGGCUUAUGGAGGGUGUGCAGCAGGGAAGGCGGCGCGGCCAUGGGUUAGGACAUCCUGGCAAAAACCAGCCAUGGGGACCAGCAACCGCUUGUGUAUCUCAGGGAAAAAAGGUUUGUCCAGGGCGGAUGAACGGUUUCUUCAACCGAGCUGCUCUUCGCCCUUAAGGUUUCUGAUAAAACAAAUCUGUUGUCCCAUGCAAAUAUAUUUACUUGCUUUAACAGAAGAGGAAGUGUCCUCCUGCCAAGUCACAGGUUCCGAAGCACUUUGGCAUCUCCAGAAAACAAACAACCCUGACUUUGCUUUUUAUUUUCCAGGCCAAAGCACAGUUUGCAGCAUGGCAUGCAAACCAAUGCUGCUGGUUGGGUCUGGGCCGUGUUUGGGCUGAACAGGUUUGAUUUUGGAGCUGUGGAUAGUUCUGCAGAAGAGGUAGAGGGAGCCCUGAGAAGAGAAAACUAGAAAAAUGUGAGUCGGAGGGGAGUUCUUGGAAUCAACAUCCCGCUCAGCAGCUCCAGAACCACUAGGAAACGCUGCAGAUCCCAGGAAUGCCAACAUCCUUUAACGUCUCCUGGGGUGCCCCACUUAUCUUCCUUUCUUAUUUUUCCCCCUUGCAAUUUGUCUUUGUGCAGACUGUUGUUAUCCUUUCUCAGCUCUGAACAGAAUUAGUGUUUGGGUGUCUCUGUUUCAGAGAGGAAUUGCUUCCUUGUCUGAGUUAAAGAUUAACUGUUGAUUGCUGCAGUGUUUUAUUCUACGUAUUCUCUACUAAAAUUCUUUGAGAUUUGCCUAACCCCCCACUGCUUCUCACACCCUGUGUUGGGGAUGAUGUGUAUCCCCCCCAGAUGUGAACUCCCUGCUUGCAAACUCAGUUCUCCCCCCUUCACUGCUGCUCCACUGAUGGGAAGCACGAGCUGGGGCUGCAGAAAUGUUCUCUUCCCUUUGCAGCGCAGGCUGAAGCACUGCGGUGAUGCAGCUGGCGCAGCAUCCCCUUGGGGCAGGUCCCCCUCCAUUUAUUUCCCCUUGUACGAGGCAGCUCUGCCGUAUAGACGUGCGUGUCUGUGCACAGCUGGCUGACCACAUCUGCCAGCACAAAACAGCUUCGUGUGUCCCCAGCAAACAGCAAGGAAGACAUUCAGGUCACUUCAGCUCUGUGUAGCUUGACAUAAGGUGAUGGCUCCACCAGAGCCGUCGGAGUUUCCUCAUUGCAGCUGGACAGAAAAUCUCUCUGUUAGGGGCUGGCCAGGUAAAAAAUGUUGAGUUUUAUUUAAUACCAUAAUGCCCACCAAUCUGGAGGACUUGAAGCAAGCUGACAAGAAUACCCUGAAAGAGCUGGAAGUCCUUAUUUACAUCCAGAAAUCAGGAAAAAUACUAUCCCUAUGCUCAUUCAAUCUUUUCUGAUGUAGCCCACUACAGCUGAACCAGGGCACUCCCUCUUUUCCUCAUUUUUGGGCUAGGGACAUGGGGCAAUGUCCCGGCACCCUGAAAACAGGGAAGCAGCUAUCAGUUUUGCCAACUGGAAGCCAAACCUUCAUCCUGUGCUGAUGUGAUCCUGACGUUCCAGUCAGCAGCUGAACGAGACAUUUUUCCUAAGCGGACGUAUUCUGGGCUGGCAGUAACCUGCUAAAUUCUCCCCAGCAUCAGCUCAUGAACGAUGGAAAUGCCAUGAACUUGCCUCAUUAGGAGGUGGGUGCCACACUCACACAAGCACCCAGCUGCACCCACUUGCAAUUAUCUCACAACUCUACUUAUUCACCCCUUUCCCCACCCCACAGCAACAAGCAGCAUGUUAGCAAAGAGCCUUGUGGAGCACAAACUCAACCCACUACAACCACCACAAAUGGCUUUCAAGCUGCUAAUAAGGCGAUAUCUCACUUUUUCCAGGAGAAAAGCUACCGCAGUUCUCUUGGGUGACUUCAGCUGAGCCCCCUCAUCCAACCCAAAGCAUUAAACCUGCCUUUCCUGGGUCAUUCGCAGCAUCGGCUGCAGCUGAACCAUGUGUGGUUUGCAGGUACGUGAUGGCUGAUGUGCAGGGAAACAAGCAGCUGCAAGGGAGUUAUGCAUUAAAAGCACGUUCAACAAAUAGGCAUUAAGAAAAAGAAAGGCAGAAAGUGGAAAGAGCUAGAAUUAUAGAAUCCCAGAAACAGAGUAGUAAACUCUAUGUAGUUGGUGUUUUGGUUUUUCCCCAUUUUCAUUUCAGUUUUGUAUUGUGAAGAUGUUUCUAUGGUUGGUUUUCUGUACUUGUCUGAUUAAAUCAGUGUCCUGGUACCAUGCAAAAAGUGAGUUAGUUGCUGCUAUGGAAUGGGGCAGAGUCCCUCUGUGUGGCUCUGCAUAAGGAUUUAUCCUGUCCACAUAAUUUUUGUGUGUGCUCUUUGCAAAAAGAAGUCAGCAGGCUUAUCUACAGCUUUAAAAAGGGGAAAAAAGCACUUUUUUUUUGUUUUAAAAAAAAGGAUUUCAGCAUGAGUUAUAAUGCAUUUAUUGCUAUGGCAAUAAUGAUUUCAAAUUCCAGACCUGUGAGAUGUUGCGGGUGAAAUCCACUACAGUAGCUCAUAUAAUUGCUGUGGAAUAGUAUUUUACUCCAAAUAGAAGUAUUUUAACGGUAAAUUGAGGCUCACUUACCUUAGAC
Molecule: long non-coding RNA, 4156 nt
Organism: Columba livia (rock pigeon)
Lineage: Eukaryota; Metazoa; Chordata; Aves; Columbiformes; Columbidae
Exons: 4
Source: RefSeq, a predicted model, not a curated record